RNAcentral lists this unclassified non-coding RNA (338 nucleotides) under soil metagenome. Its description in RNAcentral is "partial contains 5.8S ribosomal RNA, internal transcribed spacer 2, and large subunit ribosomal RNA". The stretch from base 1 to 120 matches the Rfam family "5.8S ribosomal RNA", at positions 35 to 154 of the family's 154-position model. The record is from RNAcentral.
GAUGAAGAACGCAGCGAAAUGCGAUAAGUAGUGUGAAUUGCAGAAUUCAGUGAAUCAUCGAAUCUUUGAACGCACAUUGCGCCCCUUGGUAUUCCAUGGGGCAUGCCUGUUCGAGCGUCAUUUGUACCCUCAAGCUUUGCUUGGUGUUGGGUGUUUGUCCUCUCCUUUGUGUUUGGACUCGCCUUAAAGCAAUUGGCAGCCGGCGUAUUGAUUUCGGAGCGCAGUACAUCUCGCGCUUUGCACUCAUAACGACGACGUCCAAAAGUACAUUUUUACACUCUUGACCUCGGAUCAGGUAGGGAUACCCGCUGAACUUAAGCAUAUCAAUAAGCGGAGGA